UGCAAACUCAAGUAGGCAGUUAUGUAGCCCCCGCCCAAAUUCGUGAACCCAAAACAAAACCCACAAGAUCUCAUCAACAGUUUUUACCUCACAGCUGACACUUACAAAGGAGUUCCAAGUGCUUCCGCCAACUCCUCCUACCAGCAACUGUGAAAACAACGGCCACAAGGAGUAAUGCUGCUUUUCACACAGAAAGGGGUUCUACUGUGCCUGACCUUAAGACAGGAAAAGUAGGGGAGCUAAGGAAGCUACCUACACCACCCUCACCCCCAGUAGCCAGGCUCAGGAAGGAAGAGGCACAGCGGUGUGAAUGGAUGGAGAAGAGGAGGCCGGUAGGCUGAGCCCCUGGCUCCUGGAACGAACACACAGCCAUGGCAGGUAGGAAAUCUGGGCUCCAACAGUGGCCUUGGGCUGGAGCAGUGAAAGGAUGAAGGUGAGGUGGGGUUGAGGAAUCUGCAAAUCUAGC
Molecule: long non-coding RNA, 466 nt
Filed under: Gorilla gorilla gorilla (western lowland gorilla)
Lineage: Eukaryota; Metazoa; Chordata; Mammalia; Primates; Hominidae
Description: lncRNA (ENSGGOG00000044262.1)
Source: RNAcentral